RNAcentral lists this long non-coding RNA (1118 nucleotides) under Equus caballus (horse). RNAcentral's name for it is "lncRNA (ENSECAG00000041363.2)". The record is from RNAcentral. Lineage: Eukaryota; Metazoa; Chordata; Mammalia; Perissodactyla; Equidae.
AGGGCAGGUGUCUCACACAGGAAGUGGUCCACAUGGUGGUUCCCACAAUGUGGUAAGAGCAGGGUAACUGGGGACAUGGCCAAGGAGUUGGCCAUCCCACAGCCCCAAGCCACCAACACCAAGGCCAUGCAGAGGCAUGGAUUCAGGAUCACCAUGGCAUGAAGGGUCUUGCAGACUGCAACAAAGCAGUCAUAUGCCAUGACGGCCAGGAGCAGACACUCCACACCACCCAGACCCAGGAAUAGGAAGAGCUGGAUAGCACAGCCAGUGUAGCUGAUGGUCUUGUCACCUCUACUCAGGUUACAGAGGAGCUGGGGGAUGGAGCUGGUGGUAAAACUGAGGUCCAGGAAGUAGAGAUGCGUGAGAAAGAAGUACAUGGGAGUGUGGAGGUGGAAGUCCAGCUGGAACACCAGGAUUAUGGUAGUAUUGCUCACAAGUGUCAGGAGAUAUGCAAUCAAGAUGACCACAAAGUGGAUUCUCUCCAGAUGGGGACUAUCAGAAUACCACAAAAGGAUGAAAUUUCCCUGGGUGCUGUCAUUGGUUCCAUUACCUCUACUGCAACUGAAGAGAAAUAUGGAUACUAAUAAUGGUGACACUCUUAAACAGGAUGCUGCCCUUUCCUCCUCUUGGAACAAGACAGGAGCACUUGUCUUGCAACAAGCCCUGCUGCUAACACACACCUCUUUCCAUGGAAGAAACAGAACUCUCAUGUGGAAAACAGAGGGCCUUCACUUUCUGAAUGGUUCUAAGAAGGUGCUGGUCAAAAAAUGUGAACACUAUUGCCCCCAAAUUCACCUGCCGCCUCAGACAUGCCCGCACUGAAACCACAAGUCCACAAAAUGUCCUUUUUUCAGUUCCUAGAGGGGAAUCAAAGCUACAAGAGGCUCAAUGAGACUACUCCUGGGCAUGAGUUAACAACAGCCGCACUCCAACAGCUCAUCUAGUUGAGGAUUGUGGCAUCACCUGAUCCUGGGUUCAAUCAGAUGAAACAGAGAUUUAGCGUCUAAUACCCACAGUGUAGCCUGUGCAGGGAGGACUGUGUUCCUGGAGAGCUAAGGCAGCAUUCCAUGCUCUGGGACCCACACUUGAGUUGAGACAUGGGUUCUCCAUCAGCCUAG